Molecule: ribosomal RNA, 1026 nt
Filed under: Dothiorella iberica
Lineage: Eukaryota; Fungi; Ascomycota; Dothideomycetes; Botryosphaeriales; Botryosphaeriaceae
Description: SSU rRNA
Rfam family: Eukaryotic small subunit ribosomal RNA
Source: RNAcentral
AUCUAUACUGUGAAACUGCGAAUGGCUCAUUAAAUCAGUUAUCGUUUAUUUGAUAGUACCUUACUACUUGGAUAACCGUGGUAAUUCUAGAGCUAAUACAUGCUAAAAACCCCAACUUCGGAAGGGGUGUAUUUAUUAGAUAAAAAACCAAUGCCCUUCGGGGCUCCUUGGUGAUUCAUGAUAACUUAACGAAUCGCAUGGCCUUGCGCCGGCGAUGGUUCAUUCAAAUUUCUGCCCUAUCAACUUUCGAUGGUAGGAUAGUGGCCUACCAUGGUAUCAACGGGUAACGGGGAAUUAGGGUUCUAUUCCGGAGAGGGAGCCUGAGAAACGGCUACCACAUCCAAGGAAGGCAGCAGGCGCGCAAAUUACCCAAUCCCGACACGGGGAGGUAGUGACAAUAAAUACUGAUACAGGGCUCUUUUGGGUCUUGUAAUUGGAAUGAGUACAAUUUAAAUACCUUAACGAGGAACAAUUGGAGGGCAAGUCUGGUGCCAGCAGCCGCGGUAAUUCCAGCUCCAAUAGCGUAUAUUAAAGUUGUUGCAGUUAAAAAGCUCGUAGUUGAACCUUGGGCCUGGCUGGCCGGUCCGCCUCACCGCGUGUACUGGUCCGGCCGGGCCUUUCCUUCUGGGGAUCCGCAUGCCCUUCACUGGGUGUGUCGGGGAACCAGGACUUUUACUUUGAAAAAAUUAGAGUGUUCAAAGCAGGCCUUUGCUCGAAUACAUUAGCAUGGAAUAAUAGAAUAGGACGUGCGGUCCUAUUUUGUUGGUUUCUAGGACCGCCGUAAUGAUUAAUAGGGAUAGUCGGGGGCAUCAGUAUUCAAUUGUCAGAGGUGAAAUUCUUGGAUUUAUUGAAGACUAACUACUGCGAAAGCAUUUGCCAAGGAUGUUUUCAUUAAUCAGUGAACGAAAGUUAGGGGAUCGAAGACGAUCAGAUACCGUCGUAGUCUUAACCGUAAACUAUGCCGACUAGGGAUCGGGCGAUGUUAUUCUUUUGACUCGCUCGGCACCUUACGAGAAAUCAAAGUCU